Molecule: ribosomal RNA, 460 nt
Filed under: uncultured bacterium
Lineage: Bacteria
Description: partial 16S ribosomal RNA
Rfam family: Bacterial small subunit ribosomal RNA
Source: RNAcentral
CCUACGGGAGGCAGCAGUGAGGAAUAUUGGUCAAUGGACGAGAGUCUGAACCAGCCAAGUAGCGUGAAGGAUGACUGCCCUAUGGGUUGUAAACUUCUUUUAUCAAGGAAUAAAACGAGGCACGUGUGCCUGUUUGCAUGUACUUUAUGAAUAAGGAUCGGCUAACUCCGUGCCAGCAGCCGCGGUAAUACGGAGGAUCCGAGCGUGCUCCGGAUUUAUUGGGUUUAAAGGGAGCGUAGGGGGUUUGUUAAGUCAGUUGUGAAAGUUUGCGGCUCAACCCGCAAAUUGCAAUUGAUACUGGCGGUCUUGAGAACAGUUGAGGUAGGCGGAAUGCGUGGUGUAGCGGUGAAAUGCUUAGAUAUCACGAAGAACCCCGAUUGCGAAGGCAGCUUACUAGACUGUGACUGACAUUGAUGCUCGAAAGUGUGGGUAUCGAACAGGAUUAGAUACCCCAGUAGUC